UAGUUCAGUCAGUAAAGCAUCUGCCUGCAAUGCAGGAGACCUGGGUUCAAUUCCUAG
Molecule: transfer RNA, 57 nt
Filed under: Bos taurus (domestic cattle)
Lineage: Eukaryota; Metazoa; Chordata; Mammalia; Artiodactyla; Bovidae
Also listed under: 5 other names
Rfam family: tRNA
About the family: Transfer RNA (tRNA) molecules are approximately 80 nucleotides in length. Their secondary structure includes four short double-helical elements and three loops (D, anti-codon, and T loops).
Source: Rfam by way of RNAcentral